UACGUAGGGUGCAAGCGUUGUCCGGAAUUAUUGGGCGUAAAGAGUUCGUAGGCGGUUUGUCGCGUCGAAUGUGAAAACCCGGGGCUCAACCCCGGGCCUGCAUUCGAUACGGGCAGACUAGAGUUCGGUAGGGGAGUCUGGAAUUCCUGGUGUAGCGGUGAAAUGCGCAGAUAUCAGGAGGAACACCGGUGGCGAAGGCGGUUCUCUGGGCCUUACCUGACGCUGAGGAGCGAAAGCGUGGGGAGCAAACAGG
RNAcentral lists this ribosomal RNA (253 nucleotides) under uncultured bacterium. RNAcentral's name for it is "partial 16S ribosomal RNA". It matches the Rfam family "Bacterial small subunit ribosomal RNA", at positions 524 to 776 of the family's 1533-position model. The record is from RNAcentral.